Molecule: small nuclear RNA, 190 nt
Organism: Oncorhynchus tshawytscha (Chinook salmon)
Lineage: Eukaryota; Metazoa; Chordata; Actinopteri; Salmoniformes; Salmonidae
Gene: U2
Rfam family: U2 spliceosomal RNA
About the family: U2 is a small nuclear RNA (snRNA) component of the spliceosome (involved in pre-mRNA splicing). Complementary binding between U2 snRNA (in an area lying towards the 5' end but 3' to hairpin I) and the branchpoint sequence (BPS) of the intron results the bulging out of an unpaired adenosine, on the BPS, which initiates a nucleophilic attack at the intronic 5' splice site, thus starting the first of two transesterification reactions that mediate splicing.
Source: Ensembl
AUUAUUUUUUGUAAAAAAAAAAAAAAAAAAAAAAAAAUCUGUUCUUAUCAGUUUAAUAUCUGAUACGUCCCCCAUCGGGGGACUACAUAUUAAAUGGAUUUUUCGAACAGGGAGUCGGAAAUGGGGCUUGCUCCGUCCGCUCCACGCAUCGACCCGGUAUUGCAGUACCUCCGGGAACGGUGCAACACUU